GUAGUGCGGCCGCCUCAGUAGCUAUAAUGCCUCUCGCGCCAAUCCGCGGUUCGUCUCGUAAAAUUGGAAGUAUCGCAACGGAUACUUCGCGACCGUCUCAACUCGCGCGUCUAAAAACCUCUAAAAAAGGACUUGCAUCAAAAUAACCGAAAAAUGUGACGUUUAUGUGAAAAUGUUCGGUGCUAACUUUGGUCAUUGCGGAAUGGAUAAUUAAGUGUAAAAAUCCCAGAAAAUUAUAAUACAAUGUAAUAACAUGAGAAAAUUCCAUCAGUGGUUAUUCGAAGCCCGGGACAACUUAACAAAAGCUCCGGUUAAAAAAUGGGAGUUGCAACUCGAUAGUUUCGAGCGAAACGACGAAAGUUGUAAUGGUUUCAUUGUGCUUCGCUCCGUGGCAUUGUUUGGGUGGUGGUACAGAAAUUGUGUGUAAAGCUGCGUAUUCAAACAGGUUAAAGGAGCUCUGAAUGAAACAUUCGUCGAGGAAUUCAGAACAAUGACGGAUUACACGACCUUGAUGGAAAUCGUAUCGUGCAGCAACAAAUCGGAAUACUCGAUACCACCUAACAUCACAAAAAUCCUAACAAACACUAAAGCAAAAGAAGACAUGGCAUUCUGGUUGAAAUUACUCUGGUCGGUGCUUUUUGUGUUGAUGUUGGUCGUCGCUGUGGGCGGGAAUUCCAUAGUCAUGUGGAUAGUUCUAGGUAUGAGGUAUCAUCCAUAAUUUCUAUUUCAGAAGAGCGCCCCAUUAAAACUCUAUCUCGGCAUCCUCCCUUCAAAUGAGAAUUCUCAAUUUUUUAUUGGCGCCGGUAUAAAUAUUUUCUGUGAGUGAUAAAUAAUCGAGUGGAAUUCCAGGAUGUUUAGUUCAAGAGCGCGAGCGAAUUUACCUUUAAAUUCUUCGAAUUCUUUUGCAUUCAUUGGAACGAGCAAAAAUACGAGGGUAAGAGACACUUCAUCAAACAAAACAUAGAUCACUAAAUAUGUGGAUUGUAUCGACACGAAAAUUUCAAUAAAAGCUGA
RNAcentral lists this long non-coding RNA (1014 nucleotides) under Bemisia tabaci. RNAcentral's name for it is "lncRNA ENSSWEETPG004126". Lineage: Eukaryota; Metazoa; Arthropoda; Insecta; Hemiptera; Aleyrodidae. The record is from RNAcentral.